RNAcentral lists this long non-coding RNA (1396 nucleotides) under Schistocerca americana (American grasshopper). Its description in RNAcentral is "uncharacterized LOC124564241". The record is from RNAcentral. Lineage: Eukaryota; Metazoa; Arthropoda; Insecta; Orthoptera; Acrididae.
UGAUGAGCUUGUCUUUUACACCAACCUGAAGACCUGCCGGCUUCCACUACACCAUACACUUCAAGAUUGGACGUGACAGAUUGCAGAACACUCGGCGGGGCCCUGUUCUCCUACCUCGUCGGGCUGCCGCGACUUCACACGCUUCGAAUGGAAAAUAUGGCUUUUGCGAGGCUGCAACCGGGUGUGAGCAGCAUCCUCGAAUUGUCAGGUGUGCGCUGCCUGACAUUCGAUUAUUCCGUUGUCGCUGGAGUUCCGUUUGAAAAGUUUCCAGAAAAGCUCGUCAAUCUCAGGGAGCUGGGAGUCAAAGAGUGUCAAGGUGACCCGAAGGCCGUAGAAGGGCUGGCCAAGCAGAUGCCCGGUCUUAAAAUCCACGGCGUCAUUCGACCUUUGUAACCGGCUUUCUACGUGUCUGAUAACGAGAGUGGUGCAGAACUUGAAGAGGAGGAGAAUGUGUUGCUUCGCAGUGCAGAGGAAGCAGUGGAUGACUGGAGAGUUGCAGUGAUAGUUAAAGAGUGAUAACGAUGUCUAGGAUUAAAGCAGUAUAUCUGUUCUCUCUCUAGAGAAUAUAUAAAACUGAUAUGAUAUUUAUAGGGAACUAAUUUUAAAUACUGAUUGCAUCUCAGCUGGAAUAUUGUAACUGGGCCAAAAUUUAAUACUUCUCAACUUUUGUUACUAGACUGUGUGUCGUAGUGGACUGCUGCAGGCUGUCAGGUCGAAAAUAUUUAUUUUGGGUGUAACGUCACAUUAACAUUGGUGGAAACUGUUUUGAAACAGGGUAAUUACAAGUAAUUGUGGAAGUGUGUAGAAAGAACAUAAAUUAUUUACAGUAAUAUUAGGAAAAGGAUAGUGUGCAACUCAGUGGGUCAUCUUUACACUGAUUAGCAGACAAGUACAACGAAUAGACUGUUAUACAUUCUAACUUCUGGCCGUGUUCGCUCGUGCGAACGUACGCGUAUUUUCUUUGCCGAAGGAGGCUCUGACAGAAAGCGGUAAUGUGUAACAGUCUUUUAGUUGUGCCUGACUGCCAAUCCUUUUCUUAAAAUUGUUGAUAUUCCAGCCUGAAGUUUCCAUUGUUUAACCAUCUGCAAUAGUGUUUGAAUUCUGGCUUUAACGAUCCGCAAUGACGCUCGGUUUCUCGUCGUAAUGACAGUGGAUUUGAAACAACUUUUUCUUUACGAGAUAAAGUGGCAAGACUGAUGAGGUAGCCAUUCUUAAAUAUCACUGGCUGGACUAGCAUGUAUUAUUGUGUACAGUAAUUAAUUUAAAAUAGUUACGAAAUAUUUGUUAUCUGUUUAUCCAAAAAAAUUUUUCUUGCUUAUUUAUUCACUUUUUAUUUGUAUUAUGUGCAAGUUUCAUCAAAAUAAAUGUUCUCUUUGUGGUAAUCUGAAGUUAGAAA